This is a long non-coding RNA of Pipistrellus kuhlii (Kuhl's pipistrelle), 652 nucleotides long. RefSeq lists it as uncharacterized. NCBI's taxonomy places the organism in Eukaryota, Metazoa, Chordata, Mammalia, Chiroptera, Vespertilionidae. The record is from RefSeq and is a predicted model, not a curated record. The transcript is spliced from 2 exons.
GGGCAGAAGAACCAUGGUCCUGUAAAAAACAAAACAAAAAACAACAACCCUACUUUGGAAUAAAAAAUUGGCAUUCCGUCUGGAGAAGAUCAAGAUGAUGAGCAUCUGUGUCUUCGGUGUGCCUGCUGGUGUUGGUGCUGCAUCUGAUCUUUCAUGCCAGUUCCCUGGCCCUCAUACAGGUGAGGCUGUGCCUGCACUACUGUGCACCAUCCCUGUUACUCCCCUCUCAAAAUCCCCUCCUCCUCCCACCAGGCUUCUUUCUGCCCCUGAUGGAAGCUCACACCUGCCCUCCAUUAAGAUAAUGUUUUGUGAUUAUUUUGAAUGUUAAAAUGUAAUUCUCCGGCAAUUCAUGUUGGCUUGGUUAUGUUGAGAGGAAAUAGUUUCCCUAACUUUGUUUCUCCCUACCUCCCUUUCUGAAAGUUCCCAUCUCACUUUGAAAAUGAAAGAAUGGAAAAAUAUCUACAAGACAGUGCAUGUAUCCUAAGUCUCCGCUUACAAGAUAUUUGCUUUGGCCUAGAUAGGAUCUUAAGAAUCAGUGACAGAGGAAUUUUCAUAUGAAAAACAAAGAUCUUAUGUAAUUGUUCACAUGUGCAGGUAGCUGGCGAUAACCAGGUAGGAAUGACUAAUAAAGUGACAUAUGACUCUACAUGUU